GUGUUCAAUGAUGAUUUCUGUUUAUAUGCCCGAUUUCCUUUUGGAUAAUGAAGGCAUCUUUAGUCACUACCUCUUCUGAGACAC
Molecule: small nucleolar RNA, 84 nt
Organism: Equus caballus (horse)
Lineage: Eukaryota; Metazoa; Chordata; Mammalia; Perissodactyla; Equidae
Source: Ensembl